GUGGGGAAUAUUGGACAAUGGGCGAAAGCCUGAUCCAGCCAUGCCGCGUGUGUGAAGAAGGUCUUCGGAUUGUAAAGCACUUUAAGUUGGGAGGAAGGGCAGUAAGUUAAUACCUUGCUGUUUUGACGUUACCGACAGAAUAAGCACCGGCUAACUUCGUGCCAGCAGCCGCGGUAAUACGAAGGGUGCAAGCGUUAAUCGGAAUUACUGGGCGUAAAGCGCGCGUAGGUGGUUUUGUAAGUUGGAGGUGAAAUCCCCGGGCUCAACCUGGGAACGGCCUCCAAAACUGCAUGACUAGAGUACGGUAGAGGGUAGUGGAAUUUCCUGUGUAGCGGUGAAAUGCGUAGAUAUAGGAAGGAACACCAGUGGCGAAGGCGACUACCUGGACUGAUACUGACACUGAGGUGCGAAAGCGUGGGGAGCAAACAGGAUUAGAAACCCUAGUAGUCC
RNAcentral lists this ribosomal RNA (450 nucleotides) under uncultured bacterium. RNAcentral's name for it is "partial 16S ribosomal RNA". It matches the Rfam family "Bacterial small subunit ribosomal RNA", at positions 354 to 796 of the family's 1533-position model. The record is from RNAcentral.